This 253-nucleotide ribosomal RNA is filed under the name uncultured bacterium. RNAcentral describes it as "partial 16S ribosomal RNA". It matches the Rfam family "Bacterial small subunit ribosomal RNA", at positions 524 to 776 of the family's 1533-position model. The record is from RNAcentral.
UACGUAGGGCGCGAGUGUUGUCCGGAAUUAUUGGGCGUAAAGAGCUCGUAGGCGGCCAGUUGCGUCUGCUGUGAAAUCCCGGGGCUCAACCCCGGGCUUGCAGUGGAUACGGGCUGGCUGGAGGCAGGCAGGGGAGAACGGAAUUCCCGGUGUAGCGGUGAAAUGCGCAGAUAUCGGGAGGAACACCGGUGGCGAAGGCGGUUCUCUGGGCCUGACCUGACGCUGAGGAGCGAAAGCGUGGGGAGCGAACAGG